CCUGGUGGCCCGUGAGGGCGACCGCGUGAAGAAGCUCAUCAACUCACAGAUCAGCCUCCUCAUCGGCAAAGGUAGCUCUGCCGAGUGGGCCGUGUGGCCGGGCUGGCCCUGCCUGCCCCACCCGCUGACCCAGCCCUCCCCACCCCGCAGGCCUCCACGAGUUUGACUCCUUGUGCGACCCAGAAGUGAACGACUUUCGCGCCAAGAUGUGCCAAUUCUGCGAGGAGGCGGCCGCCCGCCGGCAGCAGCUGGGCUGGGAGGCCUGGCUGCAGUACAGUUUCCCCCUGCAGCUGGAGCCCUCGGCUCGAACCUGGGGGCCUGGCACCCUGCGGCUCCCGAACCGGGCCCUUCUGGUCAACGUUAAGUUUGAGGGCAGCGAGGUGAGCCCAUGCGUGGCCUGCGGCAUCCAGGCUGCUCUGUCCAUGGGGAGCACUUCCUCUGUGAAACUCCUCAGUCAUCCGCAAG
This 465-nucleotide small RNA is filed under the name Pan troglodytes (chimpanzee). RNAcentral describes it as "retained intron". The record is from RNAcentral. Lineage: Eukaryota; Metazoa; Chordata; Mammalia; Primates; Hominidae.